Molecule: ribosomal RNA, 492 nt
Filed under: uncultured bacterium
Lineage: Bacteria
Description: partial 16S ribosomal RNA
Rfam family: Bacterial small subunit ribosomal RNA
Source: RNAcentral
AGUGAACGCUGGCGGUGGGCCUAACACAUGCAAGUCGAACGGCAGCACAGUAAGAGCUUGCUCUUACGGGUGGCGAGUGGCGGACGGGUGAGGAAUACAUCGGAAUCUACUUUUUCGUGGGGGAUAACGUAGGGAAACUUACGCUAAUACCGCAUACGACCUACGGGUGAAAGCAGGGGAUCUUCGGACCUUGCGCGAUUGAAUGAGCCGAUGUCGGAUUAGCUAGUUGGCGGGGUAAAGGCCCACCAAGGCGACGAUCCGUAGCUGGUCUGAGAGGAUGAUCAGCCACACUGGAACUGAGACACGGUCCAGACUCCUACGGGAGGCAGCAGUGGGGAAUAUUGGACAAUGGGCGCAAGCCUGAUCCAGCCAUACCGCGUGGGCGAAGAAGGCCUUCGGGUUGUAAAGCCCUUUUGUUGGGAAAGAAAAGCAGCAGGUUAAUACCCCGCUGUUCUGACGGUACCCAAAGAAUAAGCACCGGCUAACUUCGUG